CUAUCUAUCAAAGGUGUUCAAGAAUGAGUUCUGGAGAAGUGUUUUCUUCCCUUCAAAUUCCAAAGAUUGAGGAUGUCAAUGACCAAAGAGUGCAAGAGGCUGGAAGGUUUGCAGUGAAAGAGUAUAACAAUCAAGAAGUUACGAAGGAGGAUUGUAUUCCUUGGUCAUUUAUUGCAAGGGUGAAAGUCAAGGUGAGAGGGUGCAAGAGAGAGAUGAAUCUCUUAUUAUUUGAAAAUGUCCUCAAGGAUUUCAUCGAGCAUUAGAUUGCUCUCUCAGUUUAUACUAAGCCCUCGUUCUAUAGUGGAGAGGGCGUUGCUCUCUUUUAACUAUGAAAAUGGCAUAGAGUCACACUAAAAUAAUCAUAUACUUAUCUUUCUAUCUA
Cucurbita moschata (crookneck pumpkin) is the source of this 382-nucleotide long non-coding RNA. RefSeq lists it as uncharacterized. Lineage: Eukaryota; Viridiplantae; Streptophyta; Magnoliopsida; Cucurbitales; Cucurbitaceae. The transcript has 2 exons. The record is from RefSeq and is a predicted model, not a curated record.